This 492-nucleotide ribosomal RNA is filed under the name uncultured bacterium. RNAcentral describes it as "partial 16S ribosomal RNA". It matches the Rfam family "Bacterial small subunit ribosomal RNA", at positions 29 to 507 of the family's 1533-position model. The record is from RNAcentral.
AGUGAACGCUGGCGGCAGGCCUAACACAUGCAAGUCGAACGGCAGCACAGUAAGAGCUUGCUCUUACGGGUGGCGAGUGGCGGACGGGUGAGGAAUACAUCGGAAUCUACUUUUUCGUGGGGGAUAACGUAGGGAAACUUACGCUAAUACCGCAUACGACCUACGGGUGAAAGCAGGGGAUCUUCGGACCUUUCGCGAUUGUAUGAGCCGAUGUCGGAUUAGCUAGUUGGCGGGGUAAAGGCCCACCAAGGCCACGAUCCGUAGCUGGUCUGAGAGGAUGAUCAGCCACACUGGAACUGAGACACGGUCCAGACUCCGACGGGAGGCAGCAGUGGGGAAUAUUGGACAAAGGGCGCAAGCCUGAUCCAGCAAUACCGCGUGGGUGAAGAAGGACUUCGGGUUGGAAAGCCCUGUUGUUGGGAAAGAAAAACAGCAGGUUAAUCCGCCGCUGUUCUGACGGUACCCAAAGAAUAAGCACCGGCUAACUUCGUG